This 508-nucleotide ribosomal RNA is filed under the name uncultured bacterium. RNAcentral's name for it is "partial 16S ribosomal RNA". It matches the Rfam family "Bacterial small subunit ribosomal RNA", at positions 30 to 523 of the family's 1533-position model. The record is from RNAcentral.
AUUGAACGCUGGCGGCAUGCCUUACACAUGCAAGUCGAACGACAGCGGGGGAGAAGCUUGCUUUUCCUGCCGGCGAGUGGCGAACGGGUGAGUAAUACAUCGGAACGUGCCCUGUAGUGGGGGAUAACUAGUCGAAAGAUUAGCUAAUACCGCAUACGACCUGAGGGUGAAAGUGGGGGACCGCAAGGCCUCAUGCUAUAGGAGCGGCCGAUGUCUGAUUAGCUAGUUGGUGGGGUAAAGGCCUACCAAGGCGACGAUCAGUAGCUGGUCUGAGAAGACGAUCAGCCACACUGGGACUGAGAAACGGCCCAGACUCCUACGGGAGGCAGCAGUGGGGAAUUUUGGACAAUGGGCGAAAGCCUGAUCCAGCAAUGCCGCGUGUGUGAAGAAGGCCUUCGGGUUGUAAAGCACUUUUGUCCGGAAAGAAAUGGCUCUGGUUAAUACCUGGGGUCGAUGACGGUACCGGAAGAAUAAGGACCGGCUAACUACGUGCCAGCCGCCGCCGUAA